UCCGAAGGGUGCAAACGUUGCUCGGAAUUAUUGGGCGUAAAGGGCGCGUAGGCGGCCACGCGUGUCUUCCGUGAAAUCCCUCGGCUCAACCGAGGACGUGCGGAAGAAACUGCGAGGCUCGAGUCCAGAAGAGGGGGGCGGAAUUCCCAGUGUAGCGGUGAAAUGCGUAGAUAUUGGGAGGAACACCGGUUGCGAAGGCGGCCCCCUGGGCUGGUACUGACGCUGAUGCACGAAAUCGUGGGUAGCAAACGGG
This 253-nucleotide ribosomal RNA is filed under the name uncultured bacterium. RNAcentral describes it as "partial 16S ribosomal RNA". It matches the Rfam family "Bacterial small subunit ribosomal RNA", at positions 524 to 776 of the family's 1533-position model. The record is from RNAcentral.